This 921-nucleotide ribosomal RNA is filed under the name Lactobacillus sp. TLMP5. RNAcentral describes it as "bacterial SSU rRNA". It matches the Rfam family "Bacterial small subunit ribosomal RNA", at positions 59 to 962 of the family's 1533-position model. Lineage: Bacteria; Bacillati; Bacillota; Bacilli; Lactobacillales; Lactobacillaceae. The record is from RNAcentral.
AAGUCGAGCGAACAGAUAAGGAGCUUGCUCCUCUGACGUUAGCGGCGGACGGGUGAGUAACACGUGGAUAACCUACCUAUAAGACUGGGAUAACUUCGGGAAACCGGAGCUAAUACCGGAUAAUAUAUUGAACCGCAUGGUUCAAUAGUGAAAGACGGUUUUGCUGUCACUUAUAGAUGGAUCCGCGCCGUAUUAGCUAGUUGGUAAGGUAACGGCUUACCAAGGCAACGAUACGUAGCCGACCUGAGAGGGUGAUCGGCCACACUGGAACUGAGACACGGUCCAGACUCCUACGGGAGGCAGCAGUAGGGAAUCUUCCGCAAUGGGCGAAAGCCUGACGGAGCAACGCCGCGUGAGUGAUGAAGGUCUUCGGAUCGUAAAACUCUGUUAUUAGGGAAGAACAAAUGUGUAAGUAACUGUGCACGUCUUGACGGUACCUGAUCAGAAAGCCACGGCUAACUACGUGCCAGCAGCCGCGGUAAUACGUAGGUGGCAAGCGUUAUCCGGAAUUAUUGGGCGUAAAGCGCGCGUAGGCGGUUUUUUAAGUCUGAUGUGAAAGCCCACGGCUCAACCGUGGAGGGUCAUUGGAAACUGGAAAACUUGAGUGCAGAAGAGGAAAGUGGAAUUCCAUGUGUAGCGGUGAAAUGCGCAGAGAUAUGGAGGAACACCAGUGGCGAAGGCGACUUUCUGGUCUGUAACUGACGCUGAUGUGCGAAAGCGUGGGGAUCAAACAGGAUUAGAUACCCUGGUAGUCCACGCCGUAAACGAUGAGUGCUAAGUGUUAGGGGGUUUCCGCCCCUUAGUGCUGCAGCUAACGCAUUAAGCACUCCGCCUGGGGAGUACGACCGCAAGGUUGAAACUCAAAGGAAUUGACGGGACCCGCACAAGCGGUGGAGCAUGUGGUUUAAUUCGAAGCAACGC